ACCCUUCUCUUAAGGCUUUAUUAUUAACUGUCUUCUAUUCAUCCCUUUUUUUGCAGGCUAACCCUGGCAAUACGACACCAUAAAAUGGAAAGCAAUUACCCAAAGGAGAGGCCUCCCAGCUGCGGGAAAGGGAUCUCAGUGCUAGAUAUCUUGCAGAGAAUCCUCACAAAACGACAAAUCCCAGGAUUCCACAGGACAGAGCCAUGGCAGUUAAAGUGGGACUGAAACAGUGAUAACGGCGCAGCGCUGACUCUGAACAAUGAUGCGAUCCUUUGCUGAGGUGUGGUGCUAGAACAGUAUGCCGUUUUCUAAGGGCAGUUGGGCCAUAAUGCUCCCUCGUGAUGAGUUCUGGCCAUGCUGGAGAGCAAGUCAUGUUCAAGGGAUAAGGAAACAUUUGCUGGGAAGUUUGAAGAAGCCAAACAUAAGUAAAAUAUCUGAAAGAAGGUCAUAACACCUCCAAGCAUUGUUGCUGUUAUUGUGUACCUUCAAGUUGUUUAAGCAUCGUAGCUUCAUACAAUCCUAAACUUGGAAGGGACCCCAAGGGUCAUCCAGUCCAACCCUUAGAUGAAGACACCAUCCAAGCCCUCCUUGUGACCAAUGGCCACCCAACCUCUGUCUAAAAACCUCCAGAGAAGGAGACCCCACACCUUCCCAGGGAGCAGCAUCUUCCAUUGACAAACAGCUCUACCUUCAAGAAGUCCUUCCUAAUCUUCGGGUGGGAUCUCUUUUCCUGGAGUUUGAAUCUUGUCUUCUUCUGAAGAGUGACAAACAGAUUUUAAAGACCUGGUUGACUGACUGACAACACCAUGCAAAACAUGCUUACUCAAGUGACUUCUAAAUAAACACUUAGUUUAGACUCGUACUAUAAAUCAGGAAUAUGUCAGAAUAUGUUUAAGACCUCAGCUGGAAUCAGAGCAAACCUCUGGCCGGAGGGGAUUCCUGCUGCCUGCUAUUGUCACCUCAGCAAAUACAAGGAAAGAGUCUCUUAAGGCAACCGGAAAAUGUUUUCUGCUUGAGUAGCUUCCUUUCCGGUGGAGGGUUUAUUAGUUGGGCUGAUGACAUUUCUUGUGGCGAUCCUAAUCAGCCUGAAAAAGGAGAAUGUCCUUGUUCCUAAUCAGAAGCUCCUGUUCUCCUUUGCUCUUGAUAAUUUGAAUUUGCAGACAAGUUUAUUCUGCUCUGCAGUAAGGUUUGUGGUAUCAAUUCUAAUGUUUCUUGUGUGAGAUUGCUUUCAUGGUCUAGAAGCGCAAAUACCAGAGAAGCUAAAGCUACAGCGUUUUUGACUUACUGUUAAACACUAAGAAAUAAUGUCUCCCUUUAUUUGAAUUAUUGGUAGAUUUAUAUCAAAAUGUCCAACUCCCUUUUGUAUGAGUGAUGCUUGGCAAGAUGGAAGGCAUCCUAAAGUAUAUAACUGCUUGGUAGAAUGGCAGGCAGAGCCAGCAUGGUAUGUAUAGUGGCUUGUGUGUUGGACUAGGACACUGGAAGACUA
Long non-coding RNA from Sceloporus undulatus (fence lizard), 1486 nucleotides. RefSeq lists it as uncharacterized. The transcript is spliced from 4 exons. The record is from RefSeq and is a predicted model, not a curated record. Lineage: Eukaryota; Metazoa; Chordata; Lepidosauria; Squamata; Phrynosomatidae.